Molecule: long non-coding RNA, 3290 nt
Organism: Oxyura jamaicensis (ruddy duck)
Lineage: Eukaryota; Metazoa; Chordata; Aves; Anseriformes; Anatidae
Exons: 2
Source: RefSeq, a predicted model, not a curated record
UGUUUUUAUUUUUAUUCAUGCAUAGUAUUCCUUGUAUAGUAUCUGCCAUGUCUAAAUGCCAUUUUUCAUUUAGAGAAGGUGGUUUUCUUUAUUAUUUUACAUAUAUUUCCCUAGCACGCUUUAACAAAGAGCCGGACUGUUGACCAAGCCGGACUGUUGUUCAGUCAGUUGUACUGAGUUUUAAAAGAACUUGAAGACAAACUGGCUGCAUAUGUUAAAACCUGUGGUAGGACAAAUCACGGUACAUUUUCUUAUUUUCAAGAGGUUCUUACCAACAAAGUAGAAGGAAGAGAAGCAAGCAGAAACUGCUACACUAGCAUAUUAAAGGCUCAGCAACAAGCACUAAUGCUCAAACUGUGCUCUUUGAGCUUUUGGUGGGUUCUGGCGUGACUAUUUUAGGUGCUGUGAGCUGUACUCUUAAAAGGCAUGGCCUACAAGCUUGCUACCUGUGUUUGGUUAUGUUAUUUGAAACCCGCACCACAGCCUGUGUCUUGCCUUGCAACCAGUUCCCAGCAGUGGGUGGCUCUCAAAUUGCGCAAAGUUGUCUGCAGCCUGUUCUCCCAAAGAGUCUGGGGCUUGUCUGUGAGGUUAUCUAAGACUAUCCUGCAAAGUAUUUAAACAAAUGAAUGCUGCGUUGGAUCAUACCAGAUUACACAGGCACUUAAACUUUUUCCUGUGCAAUUGUUCAGUAUUUAAAAAGUCUCCGUAAGAGAAGGAUGUUGCAAAGUAGUAAUUUGUUUGCAGGCAGCUAUUUAAAUAUUUUACAUCGCAGUCCUUUAAAGUAACGUUUAUUUUUUUGGCUAUCUGGUCAGACAUGCUUGAGACAGAAAAGUGAAGUGACUUUCUCAAGGCCACUGCAAGAUCUUUGGUCUGUACGGGAAUUGUAACUGUGAAAGAUACUUAUCAUGGUGUCUCUCUUAGGUUAGCUGUUCUAAAUUGAGUAUGCUGCAAAUCUGAUUGCUGUUGACAUACCUGUGUUAUUGCUUAUACAGGACCAGCAAGUCAAGCUAGCAAUGAUAUAUCAAUUUGAUAAGUUCCUGAAACUCCUUGAGGUUAAAACAAAGCAUCAUAGCUUCCUAGUGCAAAAAGAAAAAGUGGGAUGCUGAUAUUUCUAAAACCAUAUUUCUGUGUAAUUUUCACUAGUAUUAAUUACAAAACAGGCCUUUUUAUUUUGGUUCUCAGGAUCUUUUUCCUUGGCAUUCCUUUCCUGACCUGAAAGAAGGGUUCAAGACCUACGGUAGCUGGAGAAUGUCUCUGCUGCUGUCUCCUCUGCAUGUAUGUGAACACAGCAGACCCUGUAGGGGAGAGUGGUGCUGGACCAACACCUUUUCUGUGGCAAUGAGAUGUACCUGCAUGGAGAAAACAGUCUGGGGCUGUUCUGUACUGGUGGGAGCUCAUACAGCAUUUGCUGCGUUGGAGCCCUCAAUAUGUGCUGUAUCUCUUCACCAGCCUCUAAAUCAGGGGCUCUGCUUUGGAUAUAUAGAGCCCUUUCCAUGCCCUAUGUUGUCUGGAUAUGGCUAUGAGCCAUGGUAUGGCUUGUAGUGUUCAGUUUCUGCCCCAGGAGAUGGUCGUUCCCCAAAGCAACCGGAAAGUUACCCGGAGAGAGGCAGUUUCUUGCUGCCUCCCAUUUGGAAACAAUUGCUGUAGAUAGGCAAGUGAUUGUGUGGCCAUUCAAACUGUCAAGAGGGGAAACUAUAAUAUUCCAAAAUAGUUCAGAAAAGAGAAAUGAAUGUUGACUUCUGUCUUUGGAUCACUGAGGUUUUAAUUGAGUUUUUGGUUGAAAAGCAUAUUAAUCGAUUUCUCUUUCUGGUUUAGUGCAGAAGCUGUGAAGUUUGUGUCAUAGGAUACUCAAGACGUUUGGAUUUGGAACAACAUUUUUUUACUUUAAAAAAAAAAACAAAAAACACAGCAACCUGAAACUAUUUAUUUUGUAAACAUAAGGGAAUAAAUAACCCAAUAGCUUCUUUAAAAAUAUUUCAAAAAUGAAUUGUGAGUAUUGGAAUUUUUCCCAGCGUAUAAAAGCUUCCAUUUCAUUAAGUCUCUCUAGGCUUUUGUCCAUUUUUUUCCGUAAACCUCACUUGAUUUUUCUCUGACAGCAGAUGGCCUAACUGCUCCUGAAAAUCCCAUGGGAGUGAGAAACAUAUUUGGAAAAUUCUGUUUCGCUUGAUAUUUGGAUUUUUCUGAUGCCCUAGUAUUAGGACAGCUUUUUAGCCCCAUCAUCAAAUCAAAGAGAAAAAUUCUUUCAAACCCCCCAAGACACACUGAUAGAUAUUUUAAUGCUUGUGCAGACACUGUUCUGGACGUGACCUCCUUUCUGGCAGUGUUGCCUGUGAGUCCUACAGUUACUGACUGGCAAACUGGUCCCAAUUUGGCAUUCUUUAUCUGUAGGAAAAGAGUGAUAUGACAUGGAAAGGGACUUAACAAGGCUUUGAGUAAUCAUAGUGGGUGACAAAUUAGCUACCUUUCUGUGUUUAAAAACAAACAAAUAAACAAAAAAGUAUGUUGUCAGUCAUCAGUGCUGGUCAGAGUUGUUUUCUCCUGCGUUGAUUUGUUUUCCAGCCAGCUUUGUGUUUGCAUGUUUUUAAAAUGUUCAUUAAAAGGGAGUGCAGUGUGUACCCUGGCUAUUCCCAAGGAGGAAGGGAUGGGAAAGAAGCUGGACCUUUAGAAAUUCUUGUAUACUUAAGUGGAGACGAAAUACUUAGUAAUUACUGAUAAUAGAAUUGUUUGCUUUUCUCAUCAGUGGUUGCUGCCUUGGUAUUGCUAUAUAUAUGCUUAAGUAUAUAGACACUUUCAUUUUUAUAUGUAUAAAGUGUGUGUGUAUAUAUAUAUAUAAGUAUGUAUACUUACAGGUAGGCGUAUAUUAAAUGAUCAUUUUGGACAUCCCAGAUGAGGGAGGAAAAUAAGAAGAGGGAGUCUUAACACAGCCAACUGAGCCUUGCUCAGGAUAAUGGCUGUGAAGAAAUAUGGGGAAAAUACCAAGUAACAACCUUAUGUUUCACUCUGUCAUUCUCUAUAUCCAACCCCUGCUCUUAAUCCCAGCUUGAUGCAUCUAAUUUGCUUGGCACCUUUCCUUUGCCUGGGAGGCCAAACAAGAGCUACCUGCACAGAUGACACCAGGGCUGUUUCUUGGCCAACUGGCAGAGGACCACUGUGAUGGAGCAGCUGACUGCAUCCUCUGGUCUCCCACCCCCUCUCCCUGGACUAAAUAUGUCGUUUCUUUAACACCUGCUGCCUCUGCCAAAUGUAAUGACCAUGUUUGUGUUGGCAGCUUUAGUUGUUUGAAAAAAAAA